UAGCGUCGAGCUCGAGUGAGGGGCGGAUGGAGGGGAAAAGCGGGCAUGGGAGGAAAUCGGGAGAAGCCUGAGUGUUGCGGCAUGGGGAGAUAGAGACUGGAUGUGUUUUGGAUCAGGGGCUCGGGAAUUUGGUUGGUCCAUCCAUGAACACAAUGCUGGAUUGGAUUGGAAAAAAAAAAUAGGUGGCGGCGACCUGGAUGGGCCAGGGCUACGGUUUGGUCUAGGGUUAGCUCUAAGUGGACUACAUUCAUAUAUAAGUGGACUACAUUCAUAUAUAAAUUGCAGUUGAC
This 290-nucleotide long non-coding RNA is filed under the name Hordeum vulgare. RNAcentral's name for it is "long non-coding RNA (HVUL_LNC007319)". The record is from RNAcentral. Lineage: Eukaryota; Viridiplantae; Streptophyta; Magnoliopsida; Poales; Poaceae.